RNAcentral lists this non-coding RNA (23 nucleotides) under Cricetulus griseus (Chinese hamster). Lineage: Eukaryota; Metazoa; Chordata; Mammalia; Rodentia; Cricetidae. The record is from RNAcentral.
GUAUUGGAAGGGCUCGUCGCCAG